CCUACGGGAGGCUGCAGUGGGGAAUAUUGGACAAUGGGGGGAACCCUGAUCCAGCCAUGCCGCGUGUGUGAAGAAGGCCCUCGGGUUGUAAAGCACUUUCAGUGAGGAAGAACGCCUGGUGGUUAAUACCCAUCAGGAAAGACAUCACUCACAGAAGAAGCACCGGCUAACUCCGUGCCAGCAGCCGCGGUAAUACGGAGGGUGCGAGCGUUAAUCGGAAUUACUGGGCGUAAAGCGCGCGUAGGUGGCUUGAUAAGCCGGUUGUGAAAGCCCCGGGCUCAACCUGGGAACGGCAUCCGGAACUGUCAAGCUAGAGUGCAGGAGAGGAAGGUAGAAUUCCCGGUGUAGCGGUGAAAUGCGUAGAGAUCGGGAGGAAUACCAGUGGCGACGGCGGCCUUCUGGACUGACACUGACACUGAGGUGCGAAAGCGUGGGUAGCAAACAGGAUUAGAUACCCCAGUAGUC
Molecule: ribosomal RNA, 465 nt
Filed under: Vreelandella stevensii
Lineage: Bacteria; Pseudomonadati; Pseudomonadota; Gammaproteobacteria; Oceanospirillales; Halomonadaceae
Description: partial 16S ribosomal RNA
Rfam family: Bacterial small subunit ribosomal RNA
Source: RNAcentral